This is a long non-coding RNA of Oncorhynchus keta (chum salmon), 1687 nucleotides long. RefSeq lists it as uncharacterized. NCBI's taxonomy places the organism in Eukaryota, Metazoa, Chordata, Actinopteri, Salmoniformes, Salmonidae. The transcript is spliced from 3 exons. The record is from RefSeq and is a predicted model, not a curated record.
UGUGGGCCAAAUGACGUAAGAAAUUUGACAUGCUCAAAAAUCCUGCAGAAAUGCAAAAUUGACUGGCCUGAUGAACUCGGGAUGGCCGGGCAGUGAUAGUUGUUCCUUUCCAUCACUCGUUGUGUUGACUUCAUCAUGUCCAUUUUGUGAUGUUUUUUCACUAUAUAAUCAUAUUGCAAGUGCACGUGCAUUUGCAAUAUGUUUCAAUGUGCAUUUACCAUAUGAAAUUUGACCUUGCUCAAAAAUGCAAAAUUGACUGGUCUGAUGAACACAGGAUGGCCGAGCAGUGAUAGUUGUACAUUUCCAUCACUCGUUGUGUUGAUUUCAUCAUCUCCGUUAGGUGAUGUUUUUACACUAUAGAAUCAUAUUGCAAAUGCACGUGCAUUGUUGUGCAACUGGUAACCCAAAAAUAAAAAUAUGGUUGUAAAUGCAUUUACCGGUCAUUCUGAUAUUAAUGCUCGCUAUGGGAACACAGGAUGGCCGGGCAGUGAUAGUUGUACAUUUCCAUCACUCGUUGUGUUGAUUUCAUCAUGUCCAUUAGGUGAUGUUUUUACACUAUAGAAUCAUAUUGCAAGUGCGCGCGCAUUUGCAAUAUGUUUCAAUGUGCAUUUACCAUAUGAAAUUUGACAUGCUCAAAAAUGCAAAAUUGACUGGUCUGAUGGACACAGGAUGGCCGAGCAGUGAUAGUUGUACAUUUCCAUCACUCGUUGUGUUGAUUUCAUCAUGUCCAUUAGGUGAUGUUUUUACACUAUAGAAUCAUAUUGCAAGUGCGCGCGCAUUUGCAAUAUGUUUCAAUGUGCAUUUACCAUAUGAAAUUUGACAUGCUCAAAAAUGCAAAAUUGACUGGUCUGAUGGACACAGGAUGGCCGAGCAGUGAUAGUUGUACAUUUCCAUCACUCGUUGUGUUGAUUUCAUCAUGUCCAUUAGGUGAUGUUUUUUCACUAUAGAAUCAUAUUGCAAGUGCGCGCGCAUUUGCAAUAUGUUUCAAUGUGCAUUUACCAUAUGAAAUUUGAAAUGCUCAAAAAUGCAAAAUUGACUGGUCUGAUGGACACAGGAUGGCCGAGCAGUGAUAGUUGUACAUUUCCAUCACUCGUUGUGUUGAUUUCAUCAUGUCCAUUAGGUGAUGUUUUUACACUAUAGAAUCAUAUUGCAAGUGCGCGCGCAUUUGCAAUAUGUUUCAAUGUGCAUUUACCAUAUGAAAUUUGACAUGCUCAAAAAUGCAAAAUUGACUGGUCUGAUGGACACAGGAUGGCCGAGCAGUGAUAGUUGUACAUUUCCAUCACUCGUUGUGUUGAUUUCAUCAUGUCCAUUAGGUGAUGUUUUUACACUAUAGAAUCAUAUUGCAAGUGCGCGCGCAUUUGCAAUAUGUUUCAAUGUGCAUUUACCAUAUGAAAUUUGACAUGCUCAAAAAUGCAAAAUUGACUGGUCUGAUGGACACAGGAUGGCCGAGCAGUGAUAGUUGUACAUUUCCAUCACUCGUUGUGUUGAUUUCAUCAUGUCCAUUAGGUGAUGUUUUUACACUAUAGAAUCAUAUUGCAAGUGCGCGCGCAUUUGCAAUAUGUUUCAAUGUGCAUUUACCAUAUGAAAUUUGACAUGCUCAAAAAUGCAAAAUUGACUGGUCUGAUGAACACAGGAUGGCUGAGCAGUGAUAGUUGUACAUUUCCAUCACUCGUUGUGUUGAUUUCAU